This 1926-nucleotide ribosomal RNA is filed under the name Triticum aestivum (bread wheat). RNAcentral describes it as "partial small subunit ribosomal RNA". Lineage: Eukaryota; Viridiplantae; Streptophyta; Magnoliopsida; Poales; Poaceae. The record is from RNAcentral.
AUGGCGGCGACGGCCGGGGCGGCGGCGGAGAUCGUGCGGGAGAUCGCGGCCGUGGGCGCCGCCGACCUGGCCGCCGCGCCGGAGCCGCUGCGGGCCGACUGCCUCCGCCUCGCGCGGAAGGUGUCCCUGCUCACGCACCUCGUCGCCGAGGUCGCCGAGGCGGCGGGGGAGGACGGCGCGGCGGGGCCCGAGGCGGCCGCGUGGGUGGCCGACCUGCUACGGGCGCUCCAGGCCGCCAGGAGGUUCGUCGCGCUCGGCCGCGUGCUGGCGCUCCACACGGGGGCCGCGGAUCAGGAUGUCAACGACAAGAAUAUUGCUGUUCAAUUCAAGUAUGUGACUUGGCAGUUGCAAGCAGCUCUAACAAAUCUACCGCAUAGUUGUUUUCAAAUAUCUGAUGAAGUUCAAGAAGAGGUUGAUUUAGUGCGGGGUCAGCUUAAAAGAGAAAUGGAGAAGAAGGGAGCCCUUGAUCUAAAUAUUUUUUCAAAAAUUCAUGAUAUCUUAGCUCAUCAUGUUGAUAAUGUUGGAUCACAAUCUGAAGAACCACACAGCCAGCCAGAGACAUUGUCGUUGGAAAACUUGAGAAGUGAUCACUUGGAGUUGCAACAUGUUGCUUUACUAAUUUCAGAAAUAAGCGGGAUAUCUAAAUCUGACAUUAAAAAAAUAACGUCUGAGCUAAUUGAAGGGCUUGAAAAUGCUAGAGUUGAUGAUUCUGCAAAACCAACCAAUGGUGAUAGCAAAACAAGUGAUGAAGCAAAAGACUCACCUGACAGCGUUAAGAAGCCCGACACUGUAGCUAUGCCUGAAGAUUUCCGUUGCCCAAUAUCUCUUGAGCUGAUGAGGGAUCCUGUCAUUGUGUCAACAGGGCAGACAUAUGAGCGUGCUUUCAUUCAAAGGUGGAUUGAUGGUGGAAACCGAACCUGCCCAAAAACUCAACAGAAGCUCCAAAACCUUACAUUAACCCCAAACUAUGUAUUGAGAAGUUUAAUAUUGCAAUGGUGUGAGGAAAAAGGGAUCGAACCACCUACAAGAUCGAAAUAUGAAGGUUCUUCCGUAGAGGUCGGUGAGGACAGAUUGGCAAUUGAAGCAUUAGUUCGCAAUCUUUCUUGCAGCUCAUUGGAUGAACGGAAAUCUGCUGCUGCUGAAAUAAGAUCCUUGGCCAAAAAAAGUACAGACAACCGCAUGCUUCUAGCAGAGUCCGGUGCUAUUCCUGCUCUAGUGAAACUUUUGUCCUCAAAAGACCCCAAAACCCAGGAACAUGCAGUUACAUCUCUUUUGAAUCUCUCCAUAUAUGAUCAAAACAAGGAACUGAUAGUGGUUGGCGGUGCCAUUGUCCCAAUCAUACAGGUGCUUAGGACGGGUAGCAUGGAGGCAAGAGAAAACGCAGCUGCAGCAAUUUUCAGCUUGUCACUAAUCGAUGAUAACAAGAUAAUGAUAGGAAGCACUCCUGGGGCGAUCGAAGCAUUGGUUGAGCUGCUGAAGAGUGGCAGUUCAAGAGGUAGAAAAGAUGCAGCAACAGCACUGUUCAAUCUGUGCAUAUACCAGGCAAACAAGGUCCGCGCGGUCCGGGCAGGAAUAUUGUCACCACUGGUUCAGAUGCUGCAAGAUUCAUCCAGCGCCGGAGCCACUGACGAGGCGCUCACAAUCCUGUCGGUCCUCGUGAGUCACCACGAGUGCAAGACGGCCAUAGCCAAGGCUCACACCAUCCCCUUCUUGAUCGAUUUGUUAAGAUCAAGCCAGGCCCGUAACAAGGAGAAUGCCGCGGCCAUUUUACUUGCACUCUGCAAGAAGGAUGCCCAGAAUCUCGCUUGCAUAGGGAGGCUGGGUGCUCAAAUACCAUUAACAGAGCUGUCCAAGACCGGCUCGGACAGAGCCAAGCGCAAGGCGACAUCUCUCCUGGAGCAUCUCAGUAAGUUGCAGGUGCUCUAG